CUUGGGGGAAUGUAUAGCAAUAGCUAUUUGCACUAAAAAUUUUAGUGUAAAAUCAACGUUGAAUGAAGUUCUGGGUAGAAUUAUGAUAAUGACAUUAUCUGCCCAUAAGUCUUGACCAAAUUACGUGCCAGCAGUCGCGGUAAUACGUAGAAGACAAGUGUUAUUCAUCUUUAAUAGGUUUAAAUGGUACUUAGACGGUAAAUAAAGCCCUAAAAAAGGUACUAGUUUGCUAGAGUUUUAUGUGAGGGAGUUUUAAAGUACUACUGGUGGAGAGAUGAAAUGCAGUCAUACCUUAAAUGGCACAGGUUAAGGCGAAAGCAUCUUCUUAUGUAAAAACUGACGUUGAAGGACGAAGGCUUUGUGUCUCGAACAGGAUUAGUUACCCUAGUAGUCUAAGCAGAAAAUGAUGAAUGUCAUAGAUUAGAUUUAAUUUGAUCUAUAAAUGAAAGUGUAAGCAUUCCACCUCAAGAGUAAUUUGGCAACAUUGGAACUGAAAUCAUUAGACCGUUUCUGAAACCAGUAGUGAUGUAUGUUGUUUAAUUUGAUAAUCCGCAAAAAACCUUACCACAAUUUGAAUAGAUAUAUUUUAUCAUACAAGCGCUGCACGGCUGUCUUCAGUUAAUGUCGUGAGAUCUUGGUUAGUUCCAUUAAAUUAACGUAAACCCUUACUUUAGUUUUAAAUAAAGUAGCUCACCGCUAUAUUGGAUGUGAUAAAAGGGAUCAAGACAAGUUAUCGUGGCCUAAAUAUUGUGGGCU
This 756-nucleotide ribosomal RNA is filed under the name Lazarenkoiopsis ussuriensis. RNAcentral describes it as "mitochondrial SSU rRNA". It matches the Rfam family "Bacterial small subunit ribosomal RNA", at positions 352 to 1215 of the family's 1533-position model. The record is from RNAcentral. Lineage: Eukaryota; Fungi; Ascomycota; Lecanoromycetes; Teloschistales; Teloschistaceae.